RNAcentral lists this long non-coding RNA (1020 nucleotides) under Solanum tuberosum (potato). Its description in RNAcentral is "long non-coding RNA (STUB_LNC004259)". Lineage: Eukaryota; Viridiplantae; Streptophyta; Magnoliopsida; Solanales; Solanaceae. The record is from RNAcentral.
UCCCUCUUGCUGCCCUCAUUGCAGAAAAAGAGUUUCUUUUGAAGAAUACAUCAGUUGUUGCAGUCCCUGUAAGAAUUUGAUAACCUUUAACUGUUUUGUGGAUUUAUCUGCGCGUUUGUAACGUACUUUUUGAUUCAUAUACGUAAGGUUUUGCUAGACAGUUUCAGUGGAUGAGUUUUGUGCUAUCUUUACUGUAAUACUUAUCAAUUGAGGUUACAAAUAUCUUUUGAGUAGCCUAUUGAAGUUAAUUUCGAUUUAUAGUCACUAGUCUUUGGUUUUGUAUUAAUUCUGGUGACUUAUACUACUUUUAUAUAGUUUGUAAUUUUGUAAAUUAUUUUUCAAAAACCUGCCCUAAUGCACGGUCAAUAAAAUGAAGAAGUUUGACUCUACAAAUCCAAACUAUGUCAUAUAAAUUAGGACAGAGUGAGUAAUUGGUUUUACAUAUGAAUAUCUGUCACUUGCUUCAUUGAAUAAUCUAGGGCUUCUUAGCUUAAUGAGGAUGUUGUUUUAACAUUGUCCUGGUUGGUACAUACAUGGAUCCUGUGUUAUAUUUAGCUUUUUUUAUCUGGUUAUAAUGUGUAGUUCUCAGAAGAUUAUAGGUUUCUUUAGUAUUGAAAUGAAAAAUAUAUUAUAAAAGAAGUACAUUUUCUCCCGGUGAGUGUUUUCUGGAAACACUAAAUUUAUUUUUUGACAGUAUAAGGCUGCUGCCUUUUCUUUUUGGUUAAAAAGUAACUUAUAAGCAUUUGUUUGAGCAUGCUAUUGAAUCUUAGUUUACUAUGGCCAAGCAUUGCAGUGUAAAAACCCAUGGUUUCUGUAGGUCUGCAUGCUUUAGUUUCGAGAAAUCAUAAAGGUUGUGAUUUGACGGAGCAACCAACUGCUUGGGAGAACCAAACGAAUAAUCAGUGGGUAAGAAAAAGAACAAUGGGCCGAAAGACAUCGAAAAAGCAUGCUGGAGUUAACGCUGACCAUACUGUUGAAAGUGUCUCCGGAGGGAAUGCCGAUGACAAUAAUAGAUCUCAC